Molecule: long non-coding RNA, 1908 nt
Filed under: Nicotiana tabacum (common tobacco)
Lineage: Eukaryota; Viridiplantae; Streptophyta; Magnoliopsida; Solanales; Solanaceae
Description: long non-coding RNA (NTAB_LNC009695)
Source: RNAcentral
AUGACCCACCAAAUUUCUUCCAAUUAAUGUAGUCCAUUUGUAUUCUAAGCCCACUCCUCAAUAGCCCAGAAAACACACCCAACAACCCAGCAUUUCUAUAAUCUAAAGCUGCCAGCCCAACUAAACCUAACCCUAGUUCCUUUUCUCUAUAGCAGUCACCCUCUCUCGUUCAUCUAUCUCACAUGGCCAUUUUUAGCAAACUCCAAAGCUUUUCAAACCUAAGUGAGGGAUGCUCUACCAUUUUUGUGCAAACCUUGGUAACUCCAUAACGUCUCUCCAACGCUUUCCUCUCUCAUCUCUAUCACAAGAUUUGGUCAAGAAUAAGAGGCCAAAGAACUUUUGAAUAAAUCAGAUUCUUCUACACUUUUCAGAGAUUUGACUCUCAAACGGCUACAAUUCAGAGACUGAAGCCGAACCCGUGACCCCCUUUUCUUUGAUUUUCAAAUCUCGCUCAGAAAUUCGAACCCUAUAUUGAUUUCGCCUAUAAAUACUCCUAAAACCUUCAGCCUAAACCAAGCUUGAGCACAGGUAAAAACCAGGCUUGAAUCACCAAAAAAAAAAAUCGUGCUUCAAUUUACAUUCAAGUUCUAAAUUUCAGUUUAGUAGUGAACAGUAGUGGAUCUGAGACCUCAAAGCCUACAGUUCACUGCCCCAUAAAAGGUCAGUUUUUUUCUUGUCUUUUCAUUAUUAUUUUUCUUUUGCUUUUGCUGUCAAUGUGAUAUUAUUUGUUUCAUAUAGCUAGAAGUUAUGAUUUAAGGUCUCCUAUUUUAUCUAAAGAGAUAGUUCUUAGGUUAUUGUUAUUCUGGUCACAUUUCGGCAAAAAACGUGAUUAAUAAAUAUGCAAUGAAGUGACCAUCUAAUUUUACUUGCUCUAUGUCAGUCUCAAUUAAUUUGAUUCCAUGUUUUAGAUACCAUGUUAUAUAGGAAAGAUUACUGAAGUGGAAUUUCUAUUAAGCGUCGCACUAAUGAAUGUUCUCUUACCUAGACAUGUGUGGUCUAAAUCUUGUUGUUGAUGUUCUGUUAUUUUGUCCAAAACUGCCCGAUGAACCAUGUCCAUAAAGAUUUCUCUUUUUUUCCAUGAAAGAAUUGUAUUUGAACUUUCAUUUUGUGGGAUGCACCCUCUAACUGGUGGUCAUGCUUUAGGAGUUAUAUCACAUAUUUUUAUUUUCGGUUUAGAGAUCCUGCAUUAGGACUUUAAAUUAGAUAACAAUAUGUUUUUUUCACUUUAGCUAUUUCUUAUGAAAGUUUAUGAUGUAGAUGUCCCACUUCUAAUUGUUUUGUUUUCUUUCUUUCUUAGUUUCACAUGAACACCGGAGCGGAAGUGUCCCACUUUGAGACUCGACGACGCUGCAGCACUAUACCUGCAUGGACUCAGCACACUUUUUACGUUCUCACUGCUGAUGUAGUGAUAAAACAACAAAAUUAUCCCGCGUGGGAUGUUGGCGGAGAAGCCAGUCAAUUGUCCUUUUGAUUUCUGCGUUAAUCACAAUGUUGUUUCUUAAUAUGUUAGAAUCUUAAUUGUUAUGUGAUACUAUAUCAAUUCAGUGAGGUGUUUACGUAUGGAUAAUAAUAGAGGUACUCAUCAUAUCACAUAGAACAUAACAUCUAGACAUAAGGAUAUUAAGAAUUUGGUUAGCUUGAUUCAGGUUUGAGGUAUUAGAAUUGAACUGUAAGUGUGCUUAAAAUAUUGACUGUCGUCCUUUUCUUUAAACAACAACAUUGGUUUUUCAACUAUGGAAUUGUUUUCUUAUUUGAACUUUUGGAAUUAGCUUUGUAAAAUGAGCAAAACGUGAGUUUAACCAAAUCUUCUAUUAAGUUAAUCUACUUUUUUACAUGCACGUAGACUUGUAGAACUCUUUAGACAUAACAUUAAGUCUUAGCAUUAAUCAAUUAACUUAAGUCCGGUUG